This 69-nucleotide transfer RNA is filed under the name Anelytra obtusa. Its description in RNAcentral is "tRNA-Gln". The record is from RNAcentral. Lineage: Eukaryota; Metazoa; Arthropoda; Insecta; Orthoptera; Tettigoniidae.
UACAUUUAGGUGUAUGAUGCACAAAAGUUUUUGAUACUUUAGGGAAUAGUUUAAAUCUAUUAAAUGUAA